AAAAACGAAGAAGUCUCGAGGUGAGAAGAAGCGAGUUCACUCGUUACACCGUCACGAUCCGUGAUUGCGAACGAGCGCGAGGGUAUCGAAUCGAAUUUAAUCGAACCGAAUAAAUUCGCCCCGUUUAUUUGCACGGAGCUCGCGUAAAAUGACCCCAUCGACGAAAAUAACGUUCGAACAGCCUUGAUCGGCACGUACAAAAGGUAGCAGGCUAACACGACUAUUUUCGUCGACCUUUUCACGUGCGUACACGCGUUCCAGCACGGUACGAUUGCAGCACGGUGUAUAUCGCGGCGACGUGCGUGAGCACAGGUGCACGAAGAAAGGAGCGGCACCAGAGGCGAAGGAAACGAGAGGACGCUGGCUAGAAGAAGAAGGGAAGAAAAGAAGAAAGCGCACUUGCGGUUGGACGAAGAGUAAUGAGUGGGUCGACCAUGGAAAUGGAUAAGUAGCAAGCUAACGUCUCGCUUCAGGAACGAUUUACGAGAGAACGAUUUUAUCGUGGAGAAAUCGCUGACAAUGUCUUUACAAAUCGUUUCAAGAAGGAACGACGGACGUGACAAGUGGAUAAAUAGCAGUUUGACGUCGAUUUCAAUAAUAUGGAACGACAGAUGCUUUUAACGAAGUAUAUAAAUAUUUGGUAUAAAGUAAAGUAAAAAUUGGAAAAACCAUAAACGUUGAUUUAAAAAGUAAUUUUUUAAGGAGCUAUAGGUGAAAAAAUAAAGAGCAGAGUUUCUGAUCGAAUGCCGUUUACGCUGGUCGGAAAUGAAAAAGAAAUAUUUUUACAGCACGCAACGAACACGAUGAUAUUAAAAGAAAGUAGCUAAAUUAUAAUUCAUAUUCACGAAAGCUGUAUUUCGCUAAAAUAAUGUUGAAUUUAUAUUCACGAAAGCAACACUUUGCUAACAAGCGUAAAUAAACAAAUUUUGUAUGGUAAAUUCACGCAUCAUGGAGGUAUACAAAUGUGCGCAAGGUAAAAGAGCCUAUUUACGGUGAAUAUAACGAGUGAAGUUUUGAAAAAAAAAAAAAAAAAAAGAUGAUUAGACGCUGCAAAUAUAUCAUAUUAAUUUCAAACAGAUAAACUUAAAACCUCGUUUUUUUUCCCCACCCCAAAGAAAAAGAUCUAUCGAGAAACGAUUAGACGUUAUCGUCGAGUAGUACGAUCGAUAUCAGUAAGACGAGCACCGUGACAAAAUACGAUUUUCCUUCAAGAAGCCAAACGUUGAACGUCUCGCGAGUAUCUUUAAGAAAGUGUCACUCGUUGCGAGACAUCGAAAUUAAGCGAUUACUCGUACUAAGGAGAAAAGUGAUUCGUCUAUGUAAUCGCGUAUUUGUUCAGUGCGUCGUUGUAUCCGAUAUUCGUUAAUCGCCGAAAUAGAGAUAGAAAUUUCCCUUUCGAUGUUUUCCUCGUUGCCGCGUUAAAGGCAUCGUCGAGUCGCGAAAGGGAACAGCGGUAAAGACGAAAGUAAUCGAUCCGGAGUCGAUGCGGAGAGCUCCGUCGUGCAAAUCGAUGUCAACGGGAAAAUUAAAAUCAGCUUUCGUCGUAGUGAUUUCUAUCCUUACCUCAAAAUAUUUUAUUCCGCUUUUACGAAAUUUUUCAUUUCAAGUACGAGACGCGUUUUAAACUUUUACCAGCAGUUCGUCGAUUCGAUCGAUCAUCGAUCGAUCACCUUGGUGUUGCGCGAAACUGUGACAGCAUUAAAAGACGGUGCUCUGCUCGGGAUUUCUGUCUCUAUUCUUUCGCACGUGCAUUUUCCGAUACGCCAUAUGGUCACAGAUAAAAACCACAUGCCAGUAUAUUCCCAUGAACAUCGAGCCGACAGGUACAAAACCUAACAUGUGCUGCGAUGCGCACUGAGCUUUAAUAUUCGUUCGAUUUCGGCAGUAUCUCUUACUAACUAUAUCAUAGAUUUAUAUUGGUAGAUUUAUUGGAAUGAAUUAAUUUUAUUAAAUAUCUCUUCCUAUUCUUCUAAACAGCAAGUGGUUGUAUUCAAAAUAUUUUCCACGUCCAAUCUCGUAAUAAAUAUUUUCAUUCCGUUUUUUAAAUUCAUCUUUGGCUAGAAAAUAUAUUAUAUGACACGUAGGAAGCACCGUGGCAUCGACGUUCGUACGUUCAGGAAGCGAAUACGAGAACAGAUGUUAGAAAUCUAGUUUCUCAAAGUGAUUUCCUCCAAAAAACAAAAACAGUUUUAAGAACGUGACAUGUGCGUCAGAUUCUAUGCUUACGAGGGAUGAAACUGUACAGUUCAGUUACGGCUAAUGAUAAAGCUUACGCCAACUAGGUUUCACAGCAGGUUUUAUACUAAAUCUCGCAUUAGGUUACACGUUAAUUGCCAUUAGAUCCUCCAUCGAAUGUGAUAAAAAAACGUAAAAGACG
This is a long non-coding RNA of Bombus terrestris (buff-tailed bumblebee), 2377 nucleotides long. RefSeq lists it as uncharacterized. The record is from RefSeq and is a predicted model, not a curated record. Lineage: Eukaryota; Metazoa; Arthropoda; Insecta; Hymenoptera; Apidae. The transcript has 3 exons.